AAGGGUGCAGGGCGGAUGCCUUGGCACUAGGAGCCGAUGAAGGACGUGAUAAGCUGCGAUAAGCUUCGGGGAGUUGCACGUAAACUUUGAUCCGAAGAUUUCCGAAUGAGGAAACUCACUUAGAGUAAUGUCUAAGUAUCAUUAAGUGAAUACAUAGCUUAAUGAGGGGAACUCAGGGAACUGAAACAUCUAAGUACCUGAAGGAAGAGAAAGAAAUUCGAUUCCGUAAGUAGCGGCGAGCGAACGCGGAUUAGCCCAAACCAAUAAAGUUUUCUUUAUUGGGGUUGCGGACAUAUCAUAACGAAGAGGUAUCGUAAUUGAAGAGGUUUGGAAAGACCC
Molecule: ribosomal RNA, 339 nt
Filed under: Clostridioides difficile
Lineage: Bacteria; Bacillati; Bacillota; Clostridia; Peptostreptococcales; Peptostreptococcaceae
Description: partial 23S ribosomal RNA
Rfam family: Bacterial large subunit ribosomal RNA
Source: RNAcentral